UAGACCGCCUGGGGAGUACGGCCGCAAGGUUAAAACUCAAAUGAAUUGACGGGGGCCCGCACAAGCGGUGGAGCAUGUGGUUUAAUUCGAUGCAACGCGAAGAACCUUACCUGGUCUUGACAUCCACGGAAGUUUUCAGAGAUGAGAAUGUGCCUUCGGGAACCGUGAGACAGGUGCUGCAUGGCUGUCGUCAGCUCGUGUUGUGAAAUGUUGGGUUAAGUCCCGCAACGAGCGCAACCCUUAUCCUUUGUUGCCAGCGAUUCGGUCGGGAACUCAAAGGAGACUGCCAGUGAUAAACUGGAGGAAGGUGGGGAUGACGUCAAGUCAUCAUGGCCCUUACGACCAGGGCUACACACGUGCUACAAUGGCGCAUACAAAGAGAAGCGACCUCGCGAGAGCAAGCGGACCUCAUAAAGUGCGUCGUAGUCCGGAUUGGAGUCUGCAACUCGACUCCAUGAAGUCGGAAUCGCUAGUAAUCGUGGAUCAGAAUGCCACGGUGAAUACGUUCCCGGGCCUUGUACACACCGCCCGUCACACCAUGGGAGUGGGUUGCAAAAGAAGUAGGUAGCUUAACCUUCGGGAGGGCGCUUACCACUUUGUGAUUCAUGACUGGGGUGAAGUCGUAACAAGGUAACCGUAGGGGAACCUGCGGUUGGAUCACCUCCUUACCUUAAAGAAGC
This 680-nucleotide ribosomal RNA is filed under the name Salmonella enterica subsp. enterica serovar Derby. Its description in RNAcentral is "bacterial SSU rRNA". It matches the Rfam family "Bacterial small subunit ribosomal RNA", at positions 865 to 1533 of the family's 1533-position model. The record is from RNAcentral. Lineage: Bacteria; Pseudomonadati; Pseudomonadota; Gammaproteobacteria; Enterobacterales; Enterobacteriaceae. RNAcentral also lists the same sequence under 1 other name.